This 72-nucleotide transfer RNA is filed under the name Cotesia glomerata. RNAcentral's name for it is "tRNA-Thr". It matches the Rfam family "tRNA". From Rfam's summary of the family: Transfer RNA (tRNA) molecules are approximately 80 nucleotides in length. Their secondary structure includes four short double-helical elements and three loops (D, anti-codon, and T loops). Further hydrogen bonds mediate the characteristic L-shaped molecular structure. tRNAs have two regions of fundamental functional importance: the anti-codon, which is responsible for specific mRNA codon recognition, and the 3' end, to which the tRNAs corresponding amino acid is attached (by aminoacyl-tRNA synthetases). tRNAs cope with the degeneracy of the genetic code in two manners: having more than one tRNA (with a specific anti-codon) for a particular amino acid; and 'wobble' base-pairing, i.e. permitting non-standard base-pairing at the 3rd anti-codon position. The record is from RNAcentral. Lineage: Eukaryota; Metazoa; Arthropoda; Insecta; Hymenoptera; Braconidae.
UCUCAGAUAGCUAAAAUGGAAAAGCCUUUAGUGCGUAACCAAAAGAUCCGAGUUCGAUUCCCGGUCCGAGCU